RNAcentral lists this ribosomal RNA (253 nucleotides) under uncultured bacterium. Its description in RNAcentral is "partial 16S ribosomal RNA". It matches the Rfam family "Bacterial small subunit ribosomal RNA", at positions 524 to 776 of the family's 1533-position model. The record is from RNAcentral.
UACGGAGGGUGCAAGCGUUAUCCGGAUUCACUGGGCUUAAAGGGUGCGUAGGUGGGCAGGUAAGUCAGGGGUGAAAUCUCCGGGCUUAACCCGGAAACUGCCAUUGAUACUAUCUGUCUUGAAUACCGUGGAGGUGAGCGGAAUAUGUCAUGUAGCGGUGAAAUGCUUAGAUAUGACAUAGAACACCAAUUGCGAAGGCAGCUCACUACACGAAUAUUGACACUGAGGCACGAAAGCGUGGGGAUCAAACAGG